RNAcentral lists this ribosomal RNA (451 nucleotides) under uncultured bacterium. Its description in RNAcentral is "partial 16S ribosomal RNA". It matches the Rfam family "Bacterial small subunit ribosomal RNA", at positions 28 to 507 of the family's 1533-position model. The record is from RNAcentral.
GAUGAACGCUGGCGGCGUGCCUAACACAUGCAAGUCGAGUGGCAGCGAGGGGUGCUUGCACCCUGUCGGCGAGCGGCGGACGGCUGAGUAACGCGUGGGAACGUGCCCCAAAGUGAGGAAUAACUGCCCGAAAGGGUAGCUAAUACCGCAUAUUAUCUUCGGAUCAAAGGAUUUAUCCGCUUUGGGAGCGGCUCGCGUCGGAUUAGGUAGUUGGUGAGGUAAUGGCUCACCAAGCCGACGAUCCGUAGCUGGUCUGAGAGGAUGACCAGCCAGACUGGAACUGAGACACGGUCCAGACUCCUACGGGAGGCAGCAGUGAGGAAUCUUCCACAAUGGGCGAAAGCCUGAUGGAGCAACGCCGCGUGCAGGACGAAGGCCUUCGGGUUGUAAACUGCUUUUAUAAGUGAGGAAUAUGACGGUAACUUAUGAAUAAGGAUCGGCUAACUACGUG